Molecule: ribosomal RNA, 429 nt
Filed under: uncultured bacterium
Lineage: Bacteria
Description: partial 16S ribosomal RNA
Rfam family: Bacterial small subunit ribosomal RNA
Source: RNAcentral
UGAGGAAUAUUGGUCAAUGGGCGAGAGCCUGAACCAGCCAAAUCGCGUGAAGGAAGACUGCCUUAUGGGUUGUAAACUUCUUUUAUACAGGAAAUAAAAAAGGGGACGUGUCCUUAUUGCAUGUACUGUAUGAAUAAGCAUCGGCUAACUCCGUGCCAGCAGCCGCGGUAAUACGGAGGAUGCGAGCGUUAUCCGGAUUUAUUGGGUUUAAAGGGUGCAGCAGGCGGGCUUUAAGUCAGCGGUGAAAUCUCGGGGCUUAACUCCGAAACUGCCGUUGAAACUGGGAGUCUUGAGUAUGGAUGAAGUAGGCGGAAUUCGUUGUGUAGCGGUGACAUGCUUAGAUAUAACGAGGAACUCCGAUUGCGUAGGCAGCUUACUAAGCCAUAACUGACGCUCAAGCACGAAAGCGUGGGGAUCAAACAGGAUUAG